Molecule: ribosomal RNA, 468 nt
Filed under: uncultured bacterium
Lineage: Bacteria
Description: partial 16S ribosomal RNA
Rfam family: Bacterial small subunit ribosomal RNA
Source: RNAcentral
GACGAACGCUGGCGGCGUGCUUAACACAUGCAAGUCGAACGGAAAGGCCCUGCUUUUGUGGGGUGCUCGAGUGGCGAACGGGUGAGUAACACGUGAGUAACCUGCCCUUGACUUUGGGAUAACUUCAGGCAACUGGGGCUAAUACCGGAUAGGAGCUCCUGCUGCAUGGUGGGGGUUGGAAAGUUUCGGCGGUUGGGGAUGGACUCGCGGCCUAUCAGCUUGUUGGGGGGGUAGUGGCUUACCAAGGCUUUGACGGGUGGCCGGGCUGAGAGGGUGACCGGACACGUUGGGACUGGACUGCGGCCCGGACCACUCCGGUAGGCAGCGGAGCGGAAGAGUGUACAAUGGGCGGAGGGCAGAUGCAGCAAAGCCGCGUGGGGUGAAACGGGCUUCGGUUAGGAAACCGCUUUCGCCUGUGACGAAGCGUGAGUGACGGUAAUGGGUAAAGAAGCACCGGCUAACUACGUG